Molecule: ribosomal RNA, 337 nt
Filed under: uncultured fungus
Lineage: Eukaryota; Fungi
Description: eukaryotic LSU rRNA
Rfam family: 5.8S ribosomal RNA (bases 1-94)
Source: RNAcentral
UAAGCAGUGCGAAUUGCAGAACCGUGAGUCAUCAGAUCUUUGAACGCAAAUGGCGCUAGUUGGUUACCCAGCUAGCAUGCUUGUUUCAGUGUCUUGUUUUCUUCUCACCCAUAUCUUAAUGUGAGAGAUGUCCUUCUCUUGCUAAGUAUGAAAGUACACUGUACUUUGCAGGCAGCUUCAACUUCGGUUGAUGGUUGCACUCAAUGCAGCGGUCACAUUUCAUAUGUGAACUCAUUGAGAGUAAAGACAGCUUGCAGUUUUAGGACUGCUGAAUGUGCUUAGAGCCAAAAAACUUUACUUGUAUCUGAAAUCAAGCAGGACCACCCGCUGAACUUAA